This is a non-coding RNA of Acanthosepion pharaonis, 103 nucleotides long. Lineage: Eukaryota; Metazoa; Mollusca; Cephalopoda; Sepiida; Sepiidae. The record is from the annotation of a GenBank genome assembly.
UUACGGUCAUAUCACGUUGAAACAUCGGUUCUCGUACGAUCACCGAAGUUAAGCAAUGUCGAGCCUUGCCAGUACCUAGAUGGGUGACCGCUUGAGAAUACCC